RNAcentral lists this ribosomal RNA (198 nucleotides) under uncultured bacterium. RNAcentral's name for it is "partial 16S ribosomal RNA". It matches the Rfam family "Bacterial small subunit ribosomal RNA", at positions 328 to 539 of the family's 1533-position model. The record is from RNAcentral.
ACGCUCGACACCUACGGGAGCAGCAGUGGGGAAUAUUGGGCAAUGGGCGCAAGCCUGACCCAGCAACGCCGCGUGAAGGAAGAAGGCUUUCGGGUUGUAAACUUCUUUUGUCAGGGAACAGUAGAAGAGGGUACCUGACGAAUAAGCCACGGCUAACUACGUGCAGCAGCCGCGGUAAUCUGAGCGGGCUGGCAAGGC